GGCUUGACGGUACCGUACGAAUAAGGAUCGGCUAACUCCGUGCCAGCAGCCGCGGUAAUACGGAGGAUCCAAGCGUUAUCCGGAAUCAUUGGGUUUAAAGGGUCCGUAGGUGGGCCGUUAAGUCAGAGGUGAAAUCCUGCAGCUCAACUGUAAAACUGCCUUUGAUACUGGCGGCCUUGAAUUACUGGGAAGUGAUUAGAAUAUGUGGUGUAGCGGUGAAAUGCUUAGAUAUCACAUAGAACACCGAUUGCGAAGGCAGAUCACUAACCUUAUAUUGACACUGAUGGACGAAAGCGUGGGGAGCGAACAGGAUUAGAUACCCUGGUAG
Molecule: ribosomal RNA, 328 nt
Filed under: uncultured Flavobacterium sp.
Lineage: Bacteria; Pseudomonadati; Bacteroidota; Flavobacteriia; Flavobacteriales; Flavobacteriaceae
Description: bacterial SSU rRNA
Rfam family: Bacterial small subunit ribosomal RNA
Source: RNAcentral